RNAcentral lists this ribosomal RNA (301 nucleotides) under uncultured bacterium. Its description in RNAcentral is "partial 16S ribosomal RNA". It matches the Rfam family "Bacterial small subunit ribosomal RNA", at positions 509 to 807 of the family's 1533-position model. The record is from RNAcentral.
CAGUCGCCGCGGUAAUACGAAGGGGGCUAGCGUUGCUCGGAAUGACUGGGCGUAAAGGGCGCGUAGGUGGUGGUUUAAGUCCGUUGUGAAAGCCCUGGGCUCAACCUGGGAAUUGCAGUGGAUACUGGAUCACUAGAGUGUGGUAGAGGAUAGUGGAAUUUCCGGUGUAGCAGUGAAAUGCGUAGAGAUCGGAAGGAACAUCUGUGGCGAAGGCGACUAUCUGGGCCAACACUGACACUGAGGCACGAAAGCGUGGGGAGCAAACAGGAUUAGAUACCCCUGUAGUCCCUGUCUCUUAUAC